Molecule: ribosomal RNA, 497 nt
Filed under: uncultured bacterium
Lineage: Bacteria
Description: partial 16S ribosomal RNA
Rfam family: Bacterial small subunit ribosomal RNA
Source: RNAcentral
GACGAACGCUGGCGGCGUGCCUAAUACAUGCAAGUUGAGCGCUGAAGGUUGGUACUUGUACCAACUGGAUGAGCAGCGAACGGGUGAGUAACGCGUGGGGAAUCUGCCUUUGAGCGGGGAACAACAUUUGGAAACGAAUGCUAAUACCGCAUAAAAACUUUAAACACAAGUUUUAAGUUUGAAAGAUGCAAUUGCAUCACUCAAAGAUGAUCCCGCGUUGUAUUAGCUAGUUGGUGAGGUAAAGGCUCACCAAGGCGAUGAUACAUAGCCGACCUGAGAGGGUGAUCGGCCACAUUGGGACUGAGACACGGCCCAAACUCCUACGGGAGGCAGCAGUAGGGAAUCUUCGGCAAUGGACGAAAGUCUGACCGAGCAACGCCGCGUGAGUGAAGAAGGUUUUCGGAUCGUAAAACUCUGUUGGUAGGGAAGAACGUUGGUGAGAGUGGAAAGCUCAUCAAGUGACGGUAACUACCCAGAAAGGGACGGCUAACUACGUG